UUACUCACCAACUAGUCAUGCGCCUCGGAUGCCGCCGGCCACGGGGCUCCCGGAGGGGGGUCCUACACCGCCCGGUGCCCGGGAUCCCCAAUCUGGCCGGUGAAUGAGGCCCCAUCCCAUGUACCCCAGUCCGGAGAACGGGGGGUUACUAUUAAUUCAGGAUUCCAUCCCCACCCGAGGCAGGAGGACACCCAGUGCGCGCCCCAACUCCGGGACAUGUGCCCUGCCCCUGGAACUUCCGAGAUUCCCGCGACGCCCCCUGUCUCUGGGUCAAGAACUUCGGGGGACACCUCUUCUGCCUCCUCCAACCCCAGAGACGGGGUGUCACUAUGCUGCCCAGGCUGGUCUCCAACUCCUGGAUUCAAGUGAUCUGCCUGCCUCAGCCUCUCAAAGGGCUGGGAUAACAGAUGUAAGCUACUGCACCUGGCCUCCAAUGAGUUGUUAUGUGAAGAGAACGUGAUUGUAGAAGUUAGAGGACUGCAACCAGGCCUGAACUCUCAAGGACAGAAAUGGGUCCAACCUGGCAUGACAUCCUCUAAAUCUUUAGCUCCCAGCCCCUCAGGUGCCCCCUCCAGCUACCUCCCUCUUCCUUCUCCUCAUUCCCCAAGCUAUAGCUGGUUGGGCCAACCUCCAGACAUUAGCCUGUUUGCAAACUCCUAUUCAUCCCUCAAAGCCUCACCUUCAAUGCUCUCCUCCCCCAGAAGCUCUCUCUCCUCUACCUCUAGACCUUCUCCAGCCCUCUUCCCUCUUUCUGGCCCGGCCCUGACCCCUGCGAGUGCCUGUGUGCAGCUUUGACUCCUCCAGCCUGAGUGUUCCUCAAGGGUUGACACCAGGGCUGAUGUUUCGCUAGAGUUUGUCACCUUCCAGCACAGAGUGGACCCAUGGGGGUCAGGCAAAGGAGAGUUUGAUGACUCAAUACUAUUGGUGAUUUUGCAUCACUUGAAGGAGAUCCUGCCUUAAAUUCAGAACUUGACUUCCGCCCACGGCCAAAGUUAAUUCAUUCAACAAACAAUCCCACAUGAAGCAACAGAGCCAGGCUCCCUCAGGCCCAGGCAAGAAAGGGUCAAGGAGUUGGGGUCGCCAGCACUGGGUUACGGAUUUGAGGACCUAGGACCAGAGUGAGUUGGGGAUGGGAGGAGGCAGUGCUUGAGGCCCCUCUGAGCACCAAACCUGGACCCGAGGUUCAGUUCCCGCAGACCUAAUUACCCUAAUUUGCCACAUGCACUAAUUACCUCCUGGGUGCCAGGUGGCUGGGCGGGGCUGCCCCAAUUUCCAGAGGUAGGUCGGGGCCCGAUUAUUUUUGGCUGUGGCGUCCUUGAAGGCUCCGCCACCAGCAGCGCUUGAAGGGCAGAAAGUGGGGCGGAGAAAUUGAGGCCACAUCAGGGGAGGCACUGCGGGAACUGGGGGUCGGCUUAGCCUUGGAGCUCCCUGACCAGGGGUCCUUGGGCCCAAGGCCUGAGAGUCUUUGGCACCUAGCCAGAGGUGGCAAGAUCUGGAGGGGCAUGGCCAGGCACAAUAGCUCACGCUUGUAGUCCCAGCGCUUUGGAAGGCUGAGGCAUGUGGAUCACGA
Molecule: long non-coding RNA, 1570 nt
Organism: Cercocebus atys (sooty mangabey)
Lineage: Eukaryota; Metazoa; Chordata; Mammalia; Primates; Cercopithecidae
Exons: 3
Source: RefSeq, a predicted model, not a curated record